Long non-coding RNA from Poecilia latipinna (sailfin molly), 157 nucleotides. RefSeq lists it as uncharacterized. Lineage: Eukaryota; Metazoa; Chordata; Actinopteri; Cyprinodontiformes; Poeciliidae. The transcript is spliced from 3 exons. The record is from RefSeq and is a predicted model, not a curated record.
AAACAAGAGGGCCUUUACCCUUGAUUUAAAGUAGCUCAGAGUUUCAGCUGUUUUGCAGUUUUAUGGAAGUUUGUUCCAGAUUUGUGGUGCAUAGGAGCUGAAUACUGCUUCUCCCUGUUUGGUUCAGGUUCUGGUGAUGUAAAUGCUAUCCAAGUGU